CUACGGGAGGCUGCAGUGAGGAAUAUUGCACAAUGGGGGGAACCCUGAUGCAGCAACGCCGCGUGGAGGAUGACGCAUUUUGGUGUGUAAACUCCUUUUAUAUGUCAAGAAAAUGACGGUAGCAUAUGAAUAAGCACCGGCUAACUCCGUGCCAGCAGCCGCGGUAAUACGGAGGGUGCAAGCGUUACUCGGAAUCACUGGGCGUAAAGGACGCGUAGGCGGGCUUGUAAGUCAGGUGUGAAAUCCUACAGCUUAACUGUAGAACUGCACUUGAAACUACGAGCCUAGAGUAUGGGAGGGGCAGAUGGAAUUAGUGGUGUAGGGGUAAAAUCCGUAGAUAUCACUAGGAAUACCUAAAGCGAAGGCGAUCUGCUGGAACAUAACUGACGCUAAGGCGUGAAAGCGUGGGGAGCAAACAGGAUUAGAUACCCCCGUAGUC
Molecule: ribosomal RNA, 439 nt
Filed under: uncultured bacterium
Lineage: Bacteria
Description: partial 16S ribosomal RNA
Rfam family: Bacterial small subunit ribosomal RNA
Source: RNAcentral